Hemicordylus capensis (graceful crag lizard) is the source of this 2979-nucleotide long non-coding RNA. RefSeq lists it as uncharacterized. The transcript is spliced from 2 exons. The record is from RefSeq and is a predicted model, not a curated record. Lineage: Eukaryota; Metazoa; Chordata; Lepidosauria; Squamata; Cordylidae.
UUACCCAUCACUAAAGAGAUAAAGAUGCCACCUUCUGAUAAUUCUGAUGGGAAUGCUGACCAAGAAUCCGAGAAUGAAUCUAGAGGAAAUAACGGCCAGAAUAAGAUGCUUAGAAAAAGCUCAAAAAGUGCCAUGUGGACGACUUCACCUGUGAAAAGUAUUGGACCCAAGCCUGCUUAUUUGAGUUCAAAAGAGUCAGUCAAGAAGAAAGGCCUCCUUGCCCUUAUUUCAGAUAGACUGGACCAGCAAAUAAAACAGUACUGCUUUGAGAAAAGGUCCUUCUAUAGCACUAUAAUGCCUUCUCUGCCAGCUGCUUGAGAUCUCCAACACUCUUCGGAAACAGCUGCUGCCUUCAUCUCUGCUUCUCCACAUAUAUUCACUCUCUGCCUGGCUGGUUGAAAAGCUCGUGAGGAUCAUGGUUUUCCUGAAGCAAAAGAUCUGCUCGAUAUUGGCUUUUGUCACAAGGAAGAGAGGGCAAACAACCUCCAGGGUUAAAAGCUAAUGUUCUGGUCAAGGGAGACGUGCAAUACAGCAGCAGCUCCAGUAAAGAACCAAAGUAGGAAUGACGCAUGUCUGUACAAGUCAUGUCUUUGUGACUGGGCUGUUGAAGUAACAGUCAUUUAUUUGUCAUGGGGCUAUUGGAAAGUGUUGUCUCUAUCUGAGAUAAGGCAAUGCAUUUCUUUUAGGGUGUGUGUGUGUAUAUAUAUGUAUAAACAGCAUGCUUUUUGACAGCUCAGAUUUUUCCAUAAUGGAGCAAGUACUAGAAUCAAACGAUUAAGACCUAGACAAGAGUUUAUCUCACACCACACUAAUCAAAUCACAAUAAUAAUGCCUCUAGCAGAAAAAUGAGGCAAAAUCAUGGCCUAGUACAUACAUCAGCCUAAGAACUACUCCUUCCUUCAUCUUUUGUUCCCCACCCCCUGCUUUCUACAAUAUUUAAUUGUGGAACACUUUUAAAUGCAAGUAACUUUUUGAAAGAGUGUUAGGGAUAAUAUAGUAGAGCAUUUUGCCUUCUCUAGGUCUUGCUCUUCUGUUUCCUUCCUUGGCAGGCCCCUAUAAUGGAUACCAGCUGCUUUCUUCUUUACUGCCCUUGUUCCCAUGCCAGGUGACUACAAGAAGAUGCAACUGAGAUAAAGCAUCCCUGGUCCUACCCACUGUUGGUACAUCCUUUUCUGGGAGUACACAGGUAGUGAAAAUCGUAAAGCUAGUGUUCUAAACCUACCUCAUUUCUGUUGAAUCCAAGAAGAAUGAGCUAUGUGAGAUGGAUAUAACAUUCCUGAUCUCUUAAUUGUGGCUAACAGAAUGGGACAAACAAUGGGAGUCAUUCUGUCUUGCAGAACUCUUCAACAGAACUCAUUUCUGCUGUCUUGUGCAGGAGUCUUCUCUCUUUGUUCUGGAGCUUCUCAUAGCACACUGUUGUAUUUGCAAAGAUGUUGAGAGCUUUAAAGCAGAGACUGCAACCAGCAUGAGAAGCUGGUCUCCAUACUUGGGGUACUGCUAACCAUGAUUAGUGAUAACAUCUGUGCGGGUCUGAUGAAAGGGGAGGGGGAAAUGCACACAUACCCCAGACUCUUGCUUGCCUAACCAUAGUUAGGAAAUGUUACACUUGUACUGAAUGUAGAUGCUUGCUUUCAUGUUAACUUAAUGAAGAUAGCUAACCAGUUACUGUUGGAUGUUGUUUUUUUCAUGAAUUGGUAAGUGAAGAGUAAACAAGCUGUACCCAUGAUUUGAUAUAUUGCAGCUAUUAGUGGGGGCGGGGGGACCCAGUUUAGCUGCUGCUGAAUUAAAUCCAAUUUAUCCCACCAGAUUUAAAGUGCUUUAAACUAUGCAUAAAGGCAUGUCAAAUUUCCUCUCUGCUGCACUCAGUGUAAUUGUGAAUAGGGGUUUUUUUUUGGGGGGGGGGUAACUGUUAAUUUGACACUAGCUGCUUCUGAAAAACGGUCUGAGCAAGAGCCUAAAUAAAAUAACCUUUUCUUCACUGGCCUUUCAUUUAGCCUUUGUUACUCUGAAGCUUUCAGCUAAAUCUAGGUACUGUGUUUGGUACCUCUCGUUGAAGAGAGUCUCAGAGUUGUAUUGGUUGAAAUAAUUGAGGAGUUUCUUGUGAAAGAGUGAGGUAGUCAGGUCAUUGGACAUGGUGUAAAAGGAUGAAUGUCUUGCUCGGCCAUGAAGCUUAAGGGAUGGCUUGGAUAAGUAAUUUAUCUGGCUGCCUAAAAUUGUCCCCUGGAACUACUGUCUACCAUGUAGGGUUCCACCUCUGAGCUUACAAAGACAACUGAACCUUGCAGGAUGAAAAGCUGGGUCUGUGUAUGUGGUUUUUUCCUUCUACAAUUUAUUAAGGGAUGCGUAAGGAAAGGUUUGGCCCCAUCUCCCCACCUCCUGCCCAUUCUAAACGAAGCAGCUUUUCUUAGUUAAAAUCCUUGUGUUGAAUUAUAUGCUGUAGUGAAAGUCAGGCUUGAGAGAGGAUUAGGCCUUAAUUAGAGUAACUGCUUGGAUGCUGGGCUUUUCCAGAAGAAAGCCCAGGAAUAUAAAAUCCCUGUGGCCCAAUCCAGAGUGAGGGGCAGGGUUUACUGGACAACAGCCUACAGAGGAGCAGGGGAGGGAUGUGUUUGGGUUGAGUUCUUCCCUAGAGGCCUCUGAGUGAGUGAGCUCUGAUCAGCAACUACAGUACUGUAAGAAAAGGAGUCUGUCUAGGGUUGGGAAUCAACUGGAAACUUCUUACCUGGAAGUAAGUAGGAAGGAUAGCAACCAGUUUAGUUGCUAAAUUCCAUGUUGGGGAAUUUAUUUUUGUUUAAGUGCUUGGAUCUGAGUGCAUGAUUCUUUUAGUUCCUGGGGAAGAGUUCUAUGAGAAUGGAAGCAGCGAUUUAUUGAUGCCUCUAUAGCUCUCCUUAUCCAACUAUUAUUAGAUCCUUGUUAAAGAGUGUCACAACUUAUUGGGAAGGCGAAAAUUGAGUUUUCUGAAUAAACUUAUAACAGAUUUAA